CUCGAGGCAGAUAAGGCUGGGGUAGAGCCGAGAACCACGCGCUGCGAGGGAGAGGGGCUGGAGGGAGGCACCUCCUGGCUCAUGCACGCUGGCUGCGAUCUCCCUGGCAGGGUGAGGGCCCCCAGCCCCUGUGGGAGCCCCCAGCCCCUGUGGGAGCCCCCAGCACAUUGGGUUUGAGGGUUUUGCACAAGGCUUUGCAGGUGUGCGUGGUGUGGGCAUGAAGGAGGCACAGGUGUGCUGCAGGCAGGCAGGUGGGGUUGUUUGCAGGCAGGUGUGUGUUGUUUCCACCUAAAAACCAAUUAACGGUAAUGCUGCUGAGCUCAUUAGCCUACCUGUGGCUGGCCCAUCCACUUUGUUUGCUAGCCCCCAGCAUGGAGUCAGCCCAGUGGAGCACAGGGGUUGAGCAGGGCAGGUCCUGUCCCAGCAGCUGAAACAAGCUGUGCCUGGUCUUGGUGCAGCAGUGCCAGCAGGAGUCAGCAUGGGCAAGGAAAUGAGAUGCUUCCAAAUAAUUUACCACCCUCUGCUUGCACAAAAUCCAUUUGCACGAUUUUGCUGUGCUUGGUCGCUCGCCCUGCCUUCAUCCCUCGGGUGCUCGGGGUUAAAGUGCGUUCAGUCAGCUGAGGCCAGCACCGGCCAUUUCUGCUUUCCAGCAUGACAUCAAGCAAACCUGAGUGUGCGAGCAGCUAGCCAGCAGAACGGUCUCCCAGGGGAAGGAAAGGUGGAAGCUGAGAUGCUGAAAACUGGGCUGCAGGGAACAGCCUGCACUGGCCAGGAGACAGACUGCAUGAUCUAAUAGGUCUUUUCCAUUUCUCGCUCCUGUGAUUCAAGAAGUCCUGUCACUGGGGAUUUUUUUAAAAAUAGACUGGAUGAAACACAAGACGGUGGAUGGACAGAUCGGUCCUGCCUUGGCCGGGGGACAGCAGGUCUCCACGAAUGGCAGGUCUCAGUCUGGAACUGAUUUGACUCCAGUCACCAGAGCCGCUGCUACCAGGGAUUUUGUAAGAGUCUGCAAGGCCUUUAAUCUCUUCCCCUACAAAUAGCUCUGCAAACGCCUCUCCUGGCACCGUGCCCCAGGGAGCUGUGAGCAUCCCUGCACCACGCCACGACCUCACAAGCACCCAGCUGUACCCCCCGGGAGGGUCACCUGCCUCGUGUCCCUUCUCUAGCUCAGAACCGUGCCUGGGGAUGACAGGGAUGUGGCAAGCAAUGGAUUCAUGGUCCCUGUGCUCUCCUGCCUGGGGUGACAGGGAGGUCUCCACGAGGAAUUUCGGUGCAGAUGUUUAAUAACAGCGGGACACGUGAAGUCUUGUUCGCCUUCACGGCUAUCGGUGCUGCUCAGCCACGCACACGGUUGUUUUCCUUGGCUCUGACAGAGAAACGCGCUCCUCGAGGACUUUUCAUUAAGCAAAAAUUUAUGAGAGAGGAUGAAAAUCAUGUUUUACUGUCUGAGGGCUCAGUCAGUGCUGUUUCUUCAGACGUUUUAGUAAUUCGUCUUGGCAAGGACCUAGAAAAUGUCUCCAGUGGAACAGAAAUUUCCCUUGGACGCUUGGAGUCGCUCGCAUCGGCCGGUCCCGUCCCCAGCGUGGACCGCUGCCCGGAUUAACGACCUGCCCCCCCGGGAGCCGAAACAAAAGCGAAACACCUCGCAAUUUAUGUCCAGUGAAAAAUAACGUGCACAUGAUGUAAAGCGUUAUUGGGAUUUGAUGCUAAUUUUAGUGGUCACCUUGGCUGAGUUUGAGGAAGUUGCCGGCGCUGCCAAGAGCAAAUUUACCUGAUGAUGAAUGAGGAAUCAGAGCAUAAAAUAAAUAAAUAUCAGCAACACCUUUUUUUUUCCCUGCUUUUUUGGCAGGUUGGUGUCAUCCAAGGUCACACAUUUGUGCAUUAGGAGAACUACUGCCAGAGCUUAGCGCUUUAAAGUCAUUUCUGAGUGAAGAGCAGCAUCUUUAAGGGCUGAGCCUUAAAAAAAAGCGUCCAAAAUAUUCUCCCAAAAAAUUCUUGCCAUUGGCUAGGUUUGCACAUAAGGUGUUAAUCUUCUUCCCUCCUUGUGUUCCUUCUUAGGCUUGGAAGCAGCUUGCUAUGAAUUUCUGCAAAAAUUCCUUGUUUUCCUCCUUGAAUCCAGGGCUGAAAGCACCCACGGCAGCCCCGACCUGGAGAGGGGCAGGGCAGGGUGUCCUGCAGGGGAGGAGGUCGGGCCAUGGGGUGCCCCUUGUUCUCCUCUCCAUGGGAAGACCUCUUGAAACUUUGGUUUUGUGUGCUCUAAAUGGAGAAAAGGAGGGUUUUCUGUUUGUUUUUCAACAAAUCGCAACAAGCAGGAAAAUCUUUUGUUUCCAUCAGCGCUUUUCUCAGACAGAGCCCGUGUCCCAGCCAGCUCCUGGCACGAACUCAGGGCUGGAGCCAGGCUCCGGCAAAGCAAACAGCACAUCCCAGGGCUGCCUGAAGCACCCCGAGGAAUUUCAGCUCCCCGCUGAGGUGCCCUGCCACUGUCGGAGGACAGACCCAAGACCUGGGGGAAGUACAGCCAUCCCAACCUUUUUUUGUGAUUUCUUUUAUUACUUUGUCCUCCCACAGCAAACCAGGAGGGAGGUCAGGAAGAACAAGCGUUUUCAGGCUCCCGGCACUGCGACGACAGAAAGCAGACCUCUGAGCGCUUGCCCCUCUGCGAGCUUCCAAAAACCAGUGCAAGCCCUGGGCAAGUCACAGCUACAGAAGGGCUUGCAAGCAAAACCAACACGAGCCUUCCUGCAUGACCCCUGCUCCUGGGGUUCAGAGGGCAGCAAGUGUCACUGCCCUGGCUCCCAAGCUGUUGCUAAUUACUGAAAGCAUCUCUAAUAAACCAGGAAGCUCCCCUUUAGAAACCACGAGCCUUAUUUGCGUGUAGUACCAAGCAUUCUGUGGUUUCGGAGAUGGCCUUUCAAGAUUUGCUUUUUUUUAAUUUUGCUUUGUUUGUUUUUAUUAUUUUAUUUAUUUUUUUCUUCCCAAAGAGGAUGCGGGAAGGGGAUGUGUAAGGCUGCCGAAAUAAUGCAGCCCAUGCAGGGAGGGGACGUUUGCGUUGUGUUAAGCAGGUUCCUCGGUGGAGACGAGGCACGGCUGAAUUUAUAGCAACCCUCAGAAGAGAAUGAUAAAUGGAAGCUGUAAUUUUUAUUGGGGAGGGGGACAGAUCAUGGGUGAGGGAACAAAAUAAUAAAAAAAGCAUAAAUUAGAAGCGCGGCUUGACGGCUGGGAGCCGAAAGUGUUUGGCUCGUAUAUAAUGUGCGUUUCUCGUGGAACAUGAUCCAGCCCAGCGCAUGGAAAUUACCUGCAAAAAGACUUUCUAUUAAGUCAUAUUACUGUGAACUCUCUCUACAAGGGCUCCGAGGACGGGUGCCCCGAGAGGCGCUGCUGCUCCUUGCUUCCUGCUGCUCCUGACCCACAUCCUACAACAACCGCCCGCCCUCAGCUGGCCCAUGCGGUGCUGCUCCGUUUUGGCACAUCCAUAUAUUUAAUAUAGACAGGAUGAAAGUCAGAGAGCAGGGCCAGCACACCUUUUAAGCCCAAUACAAGCCCAGUGGGACACCCUGUAGCUCUCCUUAGGAGAGGUUUGGAUGGUCUGCGGGCAGCUGCUUGUUCUUGCACCCAUCCAGCAUAGAUGGGUGCUGGUCCCCAUCCUAUUCCAAGUGCCCAGGGGUAUGGGGCAAUGCUCUGCCUCUUGGAGCCACUGUUUUUUAACCAGGAAAAAAUGCAAUGUGCUACGAAGCAGCGCUGUGGAUGGCUCCAGGACCCUCCAUCACCAGCAGAGUGCAGGAACAUCACUGCCAGGACAUGCAAAUAUCACUGCUGGGACACAGGAACGUCACUGCCAGGAUGAGCAGCUCAGAGGACAUCGUGUGUGCCCCUGCCCAUCCCAAUGCCAGCAGGAGUUUGGCUGCUCACAGACCCUUCAGAUCUGGGUGCCUCUGGGAUGUGCACGACCUGCAGCAAAGUCAUCUGCAAAGCCUUGCCUCGGAGAGAAGUGUUAAACCAGGAGAGCUCCUCCAUGCAGGGAGGGUGGCAGGGAGCAGCCUGGAGGAAGGCAGGAACCAGAGGCUUUGGUGGACCCACAGGAGAAACAGCAGAGUUGAACGGAGUGACUCUGGGUCUGUCUGAUCAAAUAACCGGAGUGGGAAGGGGCCGAGCAUCUUUCCAUGACACAUUUCCACCCUCCACACGUUCUCAAGGAGCGGCAGCCUCACAGCACCCCAGACUUCCCAAGUCUCGUCCUGACAGCCAAGUUUGCCUCUAAACCUGACCGGUUUCUUUGGGUUUGAGUCCAUCUACCGAUCCCUUUUUGAUGCCAGAAGUGCUUCCCUGAGCCAAAUUUCCCUGGUAAUUGUCCUUUGGAUUAGUUUGGAAAAUUGCAUAAGCCCUGGGUUAGAGCUGGCUGCGUCUCUCAUCCGAGUGCCUAAGGCUUCAUGGGGCAAAGACUAAAGAGCUGUGAAAUGCAGAGAUAUAACAGAUGUUGACAUGUAGUGAAAAUACUAGACGCAGGAGCCUAAGAUAAUAAAUCUGAAAAAUUAACACGUAGGAGAACGAAAAAAGGAGCAAUAUGUUUUGGUAAUCAUUCUGAACUGCUGAACCCUUCUCCUGCAGUUCAAAAAUCUCUGGUAUUAAGCAGAUGUCAUUCAACCAAUGAUUAACACA
RNA transcript from Anas platyrhynchos (mallard), 4656 nucleotides. RefSeq lists it as uncharacterized. The record is from RefSeq and is a predicted model, not a curated record. Lineage: Eukaryota; Metazoa; Chordata; Aves; Anseriformes; Anatidae.